UACGUAGGGUGCGAGCGUUAAUCGGAAUUACUGGGCGUAAAGCGUGCGCAGGCGGCUUUGCAAGACAGAUGUGAAAUCCCCGGGCUCAACCUGGGAACUGCAUUUGUGACUGCAAGGCUAGAGUACGGCAGAGGGGGAUGGAAUUCCGCGUGUAGCAGUGAAAUGUGUAGAUAUGCGGAGGAACACCAAUGGCGAAGGCAAUCCCCUGGACCUGUACUGACGCUCAUGCACGAAAGCGUGGGGAGCAAACAGG
This 253-nucleotide ribosomal RNA is filed under the name uncultured bacterium. RNAcentral's name for it is "partial 16S ribosomal RNA". It matches the Rfam family "Bacterial small subunit ribosomal RNA", at positions 524 to 776 of the family's 1533-position model. The record is from RNAcentral.